CGAGAUCUACAUAUUCAAAAUAUCUCUCAUAUUGUGGAAACAGCCCUUCAAAAUGCAAAUUUGGAAGUCAAAGAUCUUGACGCUAUUGCAGCAACAGUAAAACCAGGAAUGCCGCUUUCCCUGGUAGUAGGCACUGAAUUUGCCAAGAAACUGUGCAAAACAUGGAAUGUUCCAUUCAUACCCAUUCAUCACAUGGAAGCCCAUGCCCUGACAGCUAGAAUGGUGGAAAAGGUCGAUUUCCCCUUUCUAGUGCUCUUAGUCUCUGGUGGACACUGUUUACUGGCUGUGGCGAAAAAUGUCGAUGAAUUUCUCUUGCUGGGAGAAAGCGUCGACAGUGCCCCUGGAGAAGUGCUCGAUAAAGUUGCUAGAAGACUCAAAUUGAGAAACAUGCCUGCCUUUUCUACUUUAUCCGGAGGGAAAGCUAUUGAAAUGUUGGCUACGCAAGGCGACGUUACUUCCUUUGAAUACGGAAAUCAACCAAUGUUUAAAUAAAAUGAUUGUUCCUUUAGCUUCACCGGAUUGAGAGAAAAAGUCUACAAACAUAUAGGACGCGAAGAAAUCAUUCACAACACGGAAGCAAAUCAAGUGCUACCGUCUGCUGCCAACUUGUGCGCAAGUUUCCAGCACGCUCUAUUUUCCCACAUCUGCAGACGACUACAACGCGGAAUUCAUUACGUGGACAUGAAACAAAUGAUACCGGAAGGCCCAAGAAAGUUGGUACAAAAGCCGCUUCCUUUCGUGACUUGUAUGAUUACUGGUGACAGACGGUACGGUUUAAAAAUUACCUAGGUUGUAUCCGGAGGCGUGGCAUGCAACGACUACUUCCGCAAAUACCUGAGCAUUAUCUGCACCGAAAUGGGCUACACCCUUGUUUGCCCACCGCCGAAGCUAUGCACCGAUAACGGAAUCAUGAUUGCCUGGAACGGGAUGGAAAAAUUGACGGCAGGUAUUGGAAUCGCCAAAAAUGCCGACGACAUCGACGCCAUAGACAUUGAACCCAAGUAAACACAUUUAAAAAAAAUUCACUUCAUGACGUGAAAUUAAAAUUAUCCUUA
Molecule: long non-coding RNA, 1055 nt
Organism: Daphnia pulicaria
Lineage: Eukaryota; Metazoa; Arthropoda; Branchiopoda; Diplostraca; Daphniidae
Exons: 5
Source: RefSeq, a predicted model, not a curated record